Molecule: non-coding RNA, 1542 nt
Organism: Paramuricea clavata
Lineage: Eukaryota; Metazoa; Cnidaria; Anthozoa; Malacalcyonacea; Plexauridae
Source: the annotation of a GenBank genome assembly
AUUUUACCCAAAGAACACCCUAUCACGGAACUUGUAGUAAGAGCGGUUCAUGAACAACUCGGACAUGGUUCUGGAGUAGAACACACUCUCUCCGAAUUACGUAGUAGGUUUUGGGUGAUAAGAGGACGGGCUGUAGUACGUAAAAUUCUUAAUCAUUGCCAAGUGUGUAAGAAACGCUUUACUGCUAAACCUAUUGGUCAAAUGAUGGCACCGCUGCCGAGACCAAGAGUAAUUUCAUCGAUGAAAGCCUUUUGUCGAGUAGGAGUAGACUACGGAGGCCCAUACCUGACAAAACAAGGUCGCGGCAAGAGUAGAGCAAAAAGAUAUCUCUGUUUAUUUACUUGUCUCGUGACACGCGCGGUACAUUUGGAAAUGGCCUAUGCAUUAGACACAGAUUCGUUUAUGAAUGCAUUCGCCCGGAUGGUGUCACGGAGGGGGACGCCUUCGUACGUUUUAUCAGAUAACGGUACCAACUUCGUUUCAGGAGAACGAGAACUGAGAGAACUUGUUGAACAAUUAGACCAAGAGAAGAUUGUUCGGGACAGUUCGCGAUUCUCUCACAUCGAAUGGCAUUUCAACCCUCCAGCUAGCCCACAUUUCGGGGGAGUAUUUGAAGCCAUGAUAAAAAGUGCCAAGAAAGCUAUAAAGGGCAUCUUAGGAAAUGCGGACGUCUCCGAUGAAGAGCUACAUACAGCCAUUUGUGGGGCGGAGAAGUUAUUGAACUCGAGGCCUAUCACGUACGUAAGUUCGGAUUCCAACGACUUAUGUCCUCUCACUCCCAAUCAUUUCAUCCACGGACAGCUUGGAGGAACAUUUGCGGUGGAGGCAAUUGAGGAAGAAACGUUCAACCCCCGCAAAAGAUGGCAUCGUGUUCAACAACUAAUCGGUCAAGUUUGGAAACGUUGGAGAAGGGAAUUGCUCCCGACUUUAAAUCGUAGAAAGAAGUGGUUUCAUCCCACACGUAAUAUGAAGGAAGGAGAUAUUGUUUUAAUGAUUGAGCCAAAUGCAAAUCGCUGUGACUGGCCGUUGGGACGUAUUACUGAGACUUUUCCUGGGAACGAUGGCUUGGUGCGAGUGGUCAGAGUUAAAGCUAAAGGAAAGGAGUAUUUGCGACCGGUUCAUAGAUUAUGCCCUCUUGAGUACGUUUAGUAAUAAACCCGAGGAUAUGGAGGAGAUUGUACAGAAUUACCUGCGAAAGAAACGGACAGUUAUGAAACUAAACUGACAACAUAAUUUCAUAUUAGCGGAGUUAGUUACUCCUAGUUUUGUUAAUGUUUUACGAAUGUUAGACUAUCUCGAAUGUUACACAUUCGGGAGGGGGAUGUUACGAACAGAUUACUAUAGAUAAGAUGAAGUAGUUAUAGUUUCCCGCCAUAUAUCGCGGGCUCGGACACGUUGGGAAAAAUAGAUUUUAUACUUUUAUAUUCUAACCGAGUUGGCGGUUAAAAAUGCAAUAAAUUUGUCAUAAAAAUAGAGAUUUUGAGUUAAACUAGGCAAGAACCAGCAAAUCAAACUACGUUCUCAAGUUGGUGAGAACAUUUA